Molecule: long non-coding RNA, 564 nt
Filed under: Astyanax mexicanus (Mexican tetra)
Lineage: Eukaryota; Metazoa; Chordata; Actinopteri; Characiformes; Acestrorhamphidae
Description: lncRNA (ENSAMXG00005001963.1)
Source: RNAcentral
UAGAAGAAUCACUAUAUAAUUAAACUUCUGCUGGAUUUAUUUAAUGAAGCGGUCAGUCAUUGUUAGCUGUACCACACUGACCUGUGGUUUCUGAUAUUGUUCACCUCAGCCUGAAAUAUCUGAGUGAUAAUAAAACACGAUAUAAUAAAAUACAGAAACCUGUCAUUAACAUCAAACACUCAGAUCAGAUUUCUGACUAUAUUAAAAUUCUUUUAUGACUCUUAAAAGCAUUUAUUUUUGAACCUGAAGUUUUUUCAUAUACAUCAGACUGUCUUCUUCUGGCCAGGUUGGACACUAAAUGUUGGAUCAAUGCUGUGAGGAGGAUUUGAUUGCAUCCAGCCCCAAUGACAACAUCAGUAAGCUUAUGAUGAGGAGCUGUGGUUGGAAAGGAAAUGUUGGAAAGGAAAUCUGCAGCUGUAAUCAACAGACAGUGCUGAGAGCUGAAAUCACAGUUAAUUGAAGAUGAAGACUGUGCUGCUGUUGGCGUGCCUGCUGGCCCUGGGUUUAACCCUGCCGGUGAGUGUCCUGCAGAAACAUCUGUAUAAAUUACUCAGUACUUGCUGU